RNAcentral lists this long non-coding RNA (515 nucleotides) under Gallus gallus (chicken). The record is from RNAcentral. Lineage: Eukaryota; Metazoa; Chordata; Aves; Galliformes; Phasianidae.
GGAUUACUUGUUUUGGAAAAUCUAUGUCACUGGUAACAGAACACUCCCUGGUCCCGCGCAAAGAGCUCACAGAAGUCAUGAUGUGUACAGGCUGUAUCCUACGUUGUUUCCAUUCUUGGUUUAAUAUUUCAGUUCUUUCCAGUAUCUUCUGACGAUUAGAAUUAAACAUACUCUUUACUUCAUCUGCACGUCGGAAUCUCUUGAGCUGCCUCAGUCUCAUAUAUUCUGAUUUUACACGUUUUCGCCAACAAAUUGGUCCUUUCUCAGAUUUUUUUCCUGUUUGACCCAUGACUAACCCUUCUGAAGAUGCAUUAUUGUUAUCACAAAUAAACAUUCCCCGGACUCUCAAUUUGAUAGACACCGUCCCCUCGCUCCAAUCUCGUACCACCACCACCAGCACCGCUUCGCUCCCCGGCUCUUCUUCCCCUUUGCCUCCGGCUGCCAGAUUCACCCUCCCGGACCGAGCGCCAAAUACAGUGGCCCAAUCGCUAACACGUUCAUUGGCGAGGGCCGAG